GUUUGAUCCUGGCUCAGAUUGAACGCUGGCGGCAUGCUUUACACAUGCAAGUCGAACGGUAACAGGCCGCAAGGUGCUGACGAGUGGCGAACGGGUGAGUAAUGCAUCGGAACGUGCCCGGUCGUGGGGGAUAACACUUCGAAAGAAGUGCUAAUACCGCAUACGAUCUGAGGAUGAAAGCGGGGGACCGUAAGGCCUCGCGCGAUCGGAGCGGCCGAUGUCAGAUUAGGUAGUUGGUGGGGUAAAGGCUCACCAAGCCAACGAUCUGUAGCUGGUCUGAGAGGACGACCAGCCACACUGGGACUGAGACACGGCCCAGACUCCUACGGGAGGCAGCAGUGGGGAAUUUUGGACAAUGGGCGCAAGCCUGAUCCAGCAAUGCCGCGUGCAGGAAGAAGGCCUUCGGGUUGUAAACUGCUUUUGUACGGAACGAAACGGUCCGGGUUAAUACCCUGGGCUAAUGACGGUACCGUAAGAAUAAGCACCGGCUAACUACGUGCCAGCAGCCGCGGUAAUACGUAGGGUGCAAGCGUUAAUCGGAAUUACUGGGCGUAAAGCGUGCGCAGGCGGUUUUGUAAGACAGGCGUGAAAUCCCCGGGCUCAACCUGGGAAUUGCGCUUGUGACUGCAAGGCUGGAGUGCGGCAGAGGGGGAUGGAAUUCCGCGUGUAGCAGUGAAAUGCGUAGAUAUGCGGAGGAACACCGAUGGCGAAAGCAAUCCCCUGGGCCUGCACUGACGCUCAUGCACGAAAGCGUGGGGAGCAAAC
RNAcentral lists this ribosomal RNA (765 nucleotides) under uncultured bacterium. Its description in RNAcentral is "bacterial SSU rRNA". It matches the Rfam family "Bacterial small subunit ribosomal RNA", at positions 11 to 773 of the family's 1533-position model. The record is from RNAcentral.